Molecule: ribosomal RNA, 1505 nt
Filed under: uncultured Bordetella sp.
Lineage: Bacteria; Pseudomonadati; Pseudomonadota; Betaproteobacteria; Burkholderiales; Alcaligenaceae
Description: partial 16S-23S ribosomal RNA intergenic spacer
Rfam family: Bacterial small subunit ribosomal RNA
Source: RNAcentral
AAGUAACAGAGAGUUCGAUCCUGGCUCAGAUUGAACGCUGGCGGGAUCAACUUUUGCAUGCAGUCGAACGGCAGCACGGACUUCGGUCUGGUGGCGAGUGGCGAACGGGUGAGUAAUGUAUCGGAACGUGCCUAGUAGCGGGGGAUAACUACGCGAAAGCGUAGCUAAUACCACAUACGCCCUUCGAGGGGAAAGCGGGGACCUUCGGGCCUCGCCUGCUUAGAGCGGCCGAUAUCGGAUUAGCUAGUUGGUGGGGUAACGGCUCACCAAGGCGACGAUCCGUAGCUGGUCGCAGGGGAAGGACGACCAGCCACACUGGGACUGAAGUACGGCCCAGACUCCUACGGGAGGCAGCAGUGGGGAAUUUUGGACAAUGGGGAAACCACAGUCCAGCCAUCCCGCGUGUGCGAUGAGGCCUUCGGGUUGUAAAGCACUUUUGGCAGGAAAGAAACGGCACGGGAUAAUACCCCGUGCGACGCUGACGACACCUGCAGAAUAAGCACCGGCUAACUACGUGCCAGCAGCCGCGGUAAUACGUAGAGGUGCAAGCGUUAAUCGGAAUUACUGGGCGUAAAGCGUGCGCAGGCGGUUCGGAAAGAAAGAUGUGAAAUCCCAGAGCUUAACUUUGGAACUGCAUUUUUAACUACCGAGCUAGAGUGUGUCAGAGGGAGGUGGAAUUCCGCGUGUAGCAGUGAAAUGCGUAGAUAUGCGGAGGAACACCGAUGGCGAAGGCAGCCUCCUGGGAUAACACUGACGCUCAUGCACGAAAGCGUGGGGAGCAAACAGGAUUAGAUACCCUGGUAGUCCCACGCCCUAAACGAUGUCAACUAGCUGUUGGGGCCUUCGGGCCUUGGUAGCGCAGCUAACGCGUGAAGUUGACCGCCUGGGAGUACGGUCGCAAGAUUAAAACUCAAAGGAAUUGACGGGGACCCGCACAAGCGGUGGAUGAUGUGGAUUAAUUCGAUGCAACGCGAAAGAACCUUACCUACCCUUGACAUGUCUGGAAUCCCGAAGAGAUUUGGGAGUGCUCGCAAGAGAACCGGAACACAGGUGCUGCAUGGCUGUUGUCAUUCAGCGCGCUGGUGAAGGUGUUGGUUACAAAUUCACGGCAGGCCUGUUGCGCGAUAUUCAGUUGCUGAAGGGCGCUCAAUGCUGGACUUUGCCGGUGACAAACCGGAGGAAGGUGGGGGACGUCAAGUCCUCAUGGCCCUUAUGGGUAGGGCUUCGUCAUACAAUGGUCGGGACAGAGGGUCGCCAACCCGCGAGGAGCCGUCAGAAACCCGAUCGUAGUCCGGAUCGCAGUCUGCAACUCGACUGCGUGAAGUCGGAGAGAUCACGCUAGUAAUCGCGGAUCAGCAUGUCGCGGUGAAUACGUUCCCGGGUCUUGUACACACCGCCCGUCACACCAUGGGAGUGGGUUUUACCAGAAGUAGUUAGCCCUAACCGUAAGGAGGGCGAUUACCACGGUAGGAUUCAUGACUGGGGUGAAGUCGUAACCAAGGUAG